RNAcentral lists this ribosomal RNA (254 nucleotides) under uncultured bacterium. RNAcentral describes it as "partial 16S ribosomal RNA". It matches the Rfam family "Bacterial small subunit ribosomal RNA", at positions 524 to 776 of the family's 1533-position model. The record is from RNAcentral.
AACGUAGGUGGCGAGCGUUAUCCGGAUUUACUGGGCGUAAAGCGCGUGUAGGCGGCCCGGUAAGUCCGCUGUGAAAGUCGGGGGGCUCAACCCUCGAAUGCCGGUGGAUACUGUCGGGCUAGAGUACGGAAGAGGCGAGUGGAAUUCCUGGUGUAGCGGUGAAAUGCGCAGAUAUCAGGAGGAACACCAAUUGCGAAGGCAGCUCGCUGGGACGUUACUGACGCUGAGACGCGAAAGCGUGGGGAGCAAACAGG